Molecule: ribosomal RNA, 449 nt
Filed under: uncultured bacterium
Lineage: Bacteria
Description: bacterial SSU rRNA
Rfam family: Bacterial small subunit ribosomal RNA
Source: RNAcentral
GUCGAGAAUUUUUCGCAAUGGGCGCAAGCCUGACGGAGCGACGCCGCGUGGGGGAUGAAGGUCUUCGGAUUGUAAACCCCUGUCACUUGGGAACAAAUUGGAUGACCUAACACGUCAUCCAUUGAUAGUACCAGGAGAGGAAGCCGUGGCUAACUCUGUGCCAGCAGCCGCGGUAAUACAGAGACGGCGAGCGUUGUUCGGAUUCAUUGGGCGUAAAGGGUGCGUAGGCGGUGAGGUAAGUCGGAUGUGAAAUCCCAAGGCCUAACCUUGGAAGGGCAUCCGAAACUCCCUCGCUAGAGGACUGGAGGGGAGACUGGAAUUCUCGGUGUAGCGGUGAAAUGCGUAGAUAUCGAGAGGAACACCUGUGGCGAAGGCGGGUCUCUGGACAGUUCCUGACGCUGAGGCACGAAAGCCAGGGGAGCAAACGGGAUUAGAUACCCCAGUAGUCC